This 263-nucleotide ribosomal RNA is filed under the name uncultured bacterium. RNAcentral's name for it is "partial 16S ribosomal RNA". It matches the Rfam family "Bacterial small subunit ribosomal RNA", at positions 793 to 1055 of the family's 1533-position model. The record is from RNAcentral.
GUCCACGCGGUAAACGAUGAAUGUUAGGUGUUGCGGGUAUCGAACCCUGCAGUGCCGGAGUAAACACAAUAAACAUUCCGCCUGGGGAGUACGGCCGCAAGGUUGAAACUCAAAGGAAUUGACGGGGGCCCGCACAAGCAGCGGAGCAUGUUGUUUAAUUCGAAGCAACGCGAAGAACCUUAACAGGUCUUGACAUCCGAUUAAAGCCGUAGAGAUACGGUGUUCCUUCGGGAGAAUCGAGACAGGUGGUGCAUGGUUGUCGU